UACGGAGGGUGCAAGCGUUGUUCGGAAUUACUGGGCGUAAAGCGCGUGUAGGCGGCCGAUUAAGUCUGGUGUGAAAGCCCGGGGCUCACCCCCGGAAUGGCCUCCGAUACUGCCGUGCUCGAGGACUGGAGAGGAGUCUGGAAUUCACAGUGGAGCAGUGAAAUGCGUAGAUAUCGGGAGGAAUACCGAUGGCGAAGGCAGGUCUCUGGGCUGACACUGACGCUCAUGCACGAAAGCGUGGGGAGCAAACAGG
Molecule: ribosomal RNA, 253 nt
Filed under: uncultured bacterium
Lineage: Bacteria
Description: partial 16S ribosomal RNA
Rfam family: Bacterial small subunit ribosomal RNA
Source: RNAcentral